GUUUAGAGAGCACAAUAUACCUAUUGAAGCAAGACAAUCAUGCAUUAAGAAAAGUUUUAACAAAAUUAUGAAUGUCCUUAUCUUAUCUUAUCUAUUCUACAACGUUUUAUUACAUGGUUCAAUGAUUUAACCCCAAUGUUGAAUAUGAUAUUCUGGUUUACUAAAUCAGACUAUCCGAUAAUGCAUCAAUAUAUCUGAUGAAUUUACUUAAGUCAUGUGCAUACAUAUAUCCGAUGCUUCAAGCAUUAGUCAAUUUCUCUUCAAACAUUUUUUUGUCAUUUCUUCGUCAUCUUCGAUGAUGCACUUGUUCGCCUCCCAACAUCUACUCUUCUUUAAUCUUCUAUGCUCAUUUACAUAUAAUAUAAUUUUGAAUUCUUAACUCCAAACUAUUUUAUCAUUUUCUUCUUCUUAGUCUAUUCUCUCUUAUUAAUUAUA
RNAcentral lists this long non-coding RNA (435 nucleotides) under Arabidopsis lyrata. Its description in RNAcentral is "long non-coding RNA (ALYR_LNC003419)". Lineage: Eukaryota; Viridiplantae; Streptophyta; Magnoliopsida; Brassicales; Brassicaceae. The record is from RNAcentral.